CUUAGCUUGUCAUUAGUAGUGUUACGAUAUGAAAGAAAGACGUACAGAGGGGUCUGUUAGCUCUGCCCUUUCUUUAAGUACCUUUCUCUAAAGCAUUACUUCAGUCUGCUCUGAUCUCACCCUGAAAUCAAAAGUCUGCAGCCUUAAGAAAUUUGGGGGUUCCUUUCAAAGGUUUGUGGGGGUUAGGAGGGCUGAAGGGGUCAAGACCUGCUGGAAAGAAGAGUCUUGAAGAACAGCUAGAUUCUGCAGACAUGGUGAUAUGGAAAGACUCAUCCUGGGAGGACAGGAAAA
RNAcentral lists this long non-coding RNA (291 nucleotides) under Anas platyrhynchos platyrhynchos (common mallard). RNAcentral describes it as "lncRNA (ENSAPLG00000023892.1)". Lineage: Eukaryota; Metazoa; Chordata; Aves; Anseriformes; Anatidae. The record is from RNAcentral.